This 551-nucleotide ribosomal RNA is filed under the name uncultured Glomeromycotina. RNAcentral's name for it is "SSU rRNA". It matches the Rfam family "Eukaryotic small subunit ribosomal RNA", at positions 548 to 1098 of the family's 1831-position model. The record is from RNAcentral. Lineage: Eukaryota; Fungi; Glomeromycota.
UUGGAGGGCAAGUCUGGUGCCCGCAGCCGCGGUAAUUCCAGCUCCAAUAGCGUAUAUUAAAGUUGUUGCAGUUAAAAAGCUCGUAGUUGAAUUUCGGGGUUCAUCCGUUGGUCGGGCUUCACGGUCCGUACUGGUGUGAUGGGUUCCUACCUUCUGAAUAACCGGCAUGCCAUUAAUUUGGUGCGCCGGGGAAGCAGAACUAUUACCUUGAAAAAAUUAGAGUGCUUAAAGCAGGCAAGUGCCUGAAUAGGUUAGCAUGGAAUAAUAAAAUAGGACGGCAUGGUUCUAUUUUGUUGGUUUCUAGGAUCACCGUAAUGAUUAAUAGGGAUAGUUGGGGGCAUUAGUAUUCAAUUGUCAGAGGUGAAAUUCUUGGAUUUAUUGAAGACUAACUUCUGCGAAAGCAUUUGCCAAGGAUGUUUUCAUUAAUCAAGAACGAAAGUUAGGGGAUCGAAGACGAUCAGAUACCGUCGUAGUCCUAACCAUAAACUAUGCCGACUAGGGAUCGGACGAUGUUAAUUUUUUAAUGACUCGUUCGGCGCCUUACGGGAAAC